CAUAGUGCCCGUACCGCAAACCGACACAGGUAGAUGAGGAGAGAAUCCUAAGACCAUCGGAAGAAUUGUUGUUAAGGAACUCGGCAAAUUAACCCCGUAAGUUCGCGAGAAGGGGUGCCGGAGAGGAAUCUCCGGCCGCAGUGAAAUGGCCCAAGCAACUGUUUAGCAAAAACACAGGUCUCUGCUAAAGCGUAAGCUGAAGUAUAGGGGCUGACGCCUGCCCGGUGCUGGAAGGUUAAGGGGAUCACUUAGCGCAAGCGAAGGUGUGAACUUAAGCCCCAGUAAACGGCGGCCGUAACUAUAACGGUCCUAAGGUAGCGAAAUUCCUUGUCAGGUAAGUUCUGACCCGCACGAAUGGCGUAAUGACUUGGGCACUGUCUCAACAACAAAUCCGGCGAAAUUGUAGUGCAAGUGAAGAUGCUUGCUACCCGCGAUUGGACGGAAAGACCCCGUAGAGCUUUACUGUAGCUUAGCAUUGAGUUUCGAUAUUGUCUGUACAGGAUAGGUGGGAGACUAGGAAAGAGGAUCGUCAGGUCUUCUGGAGUCAUCCUUGGGAUACCACCCUGGCAGUAUUGAGAUUCUAACCGGAGGCCAUGAUCUGGUCACGGGACAUUGUUAGGUGGGCAGUUUGACUGGGGCGGUCGCCUCCUAAAAAGUAACGGAGGCGCCCAAAGGUUCCCUCAGAACGGUCGGAAAUCGUUCGUAGAGUGCAAAGGCAGAAGGGAGCCUGACUGCGACACAUACAGGUGGAGCAGGGACGAAAGUCGGGCUUAGUGAUCCGGUGGUACCUCGUGGGAGGGCCAUCGCUCAACGGAUAAAAGCUACCUCGGGGAUAACAGGCUUAUCUCCCCCAAGAGUCCACAUCGACGGGGAGGUUUGGCACCUCGAUGUCGGCUCGUCGCAUCCUGGGGCUGAAGUAGGUCCCAAGGGUUGGGCUGUUCGCCCAUUAAAGCGGCACGCGAGCUGGGUUCAGAACGUCGUGAGACAGUUCGGUCCCUAUCCGUCGCGGGCGUAGGAAAUUUGAAGGGAGCUGUCCUUAGUACGAGAGGACCGGGAUGGACCAACCUCUGGUGCACCAGUUGUUCCGCCAGGAGCAUAGCUGGGUAGCUAAGUUGGGACAGGAUAAACGCUGAAAGCAUCUAAGCGUGAAGCCUACCCUAAGAUAAGAUUUCCCAUGACGUAAGUCAGUAAGAUCCCUUGAAGAACACGAGGUUGAUAGGUGAGAGGUGUAAGUGCAGUAAUGUAUUCAGCUUACUCAUACUAAUAGAUCGAGGGCUUAAUCAA
Molecule: ribosomal RNA, 1284 nt
Filed under: Proteiniclasticum ruminis
Lineage: Bacteria; Bacillati; Bacillota; Clostridia; Eubacteriales; Clostridiaceae
Also listed under: 1 other name
Description: bacterial LSU rRNA
Rfam family: Bacterial large subunit ribosomal RNA
Source: RNAcentral